GCGCCCGUAGCCUAACGGAUAGGGCACCAGUCUUCGGAACUGGUUAUUGGCGGUUCGAAUCCACCCGGGCGCG
This 73-nucleotide transfer RNA is filed under the name Candidatus Omnitrophota bacterium. Its description in RNAcentral is "tRNA-Arg". It matches the Rfam family "tRNA". Rfam says of the family: Transfer RNA (tRNA) molecules are approximately 80 nucleotides in length. Their secondary structure includes four short double-helical elements and three loops (D, anti-codon, and T loops). The record is from RNAcentral. Lineage: Bacteria; Pseudomonadati; Candidatus Omnitrophota.